RNAcentral lists this non-coding RNA (90 nucleotides) under Micromonospora lupini. RNAcentral's name for it is "ZTP sequence". It matches the Rfam family "ZMP/ZTP riboswitch aptamer (pfl RNA motif)". Rfam says of the family: Previously known as pfl RNA. Lineage: Bacteria; Bacillati; Actinomycetota; Actinomycetes; Micromonosporales; Micromonosporaceae. The record is from RNAcentral. RNAcentral also lists the same sequence under 1 other name.
GGCGCGGGCCGUUACUGGCGCGUGGGGAUGGAGAACCAUCGGGGAGCGGCCCCGUCACACGGACGUUUGCCGAGCGCCUGGGCCUUCCCG